Molecule: ribosomal RNA, 618 nt
Filed under: uncultured Bacteroidales bacterium
Lineage: Bacteria; Pseudomonadati; Bacteroidota; Bacteroidia; Bacteroidales
Description: bacterial SSU rRNA
Rfam family: Bacterial small subunit ribosomal RNA
Source: RNAcentral
CCUGCCGUCUACUCUUGGACAGCCUUCUGAAAGGAAGAUUAAUACAAGAUGGCAUCAUGAGUUCACAUGUUCACAUGAUUAAAGGUAUUCCGGUAGACGAUGGGGAUGCGUUCCAUUAGAUAGUAGGCGGGGUAACGGCCCACCUAGUCUUCGAUGGAUAGGGGUUCUGAGAGGAAGGUCCCCCACAUUGGAACUGAGACACGGUCCAAACUCCUACGGGAGGCAGCAGUGAGGAAUAUUGGUCAAUGGGCGCAGGCCUGAACCAGCCAAGUAGCGUGAAGGAUGACUGCCCUAUGGGUUGUAAACUUCUUUUAUAAAGGAAUAAAGUCGGGUAUGUAUACCCGUUUGCAUGUACUUUAUGAAUAAGGAUCGGCUAACUCCGUGCCAGCAGCCGCGGUAAUACGGAGGAUCCGAGCGUUAUCCGGAUUUAUUGGGUUUAAAGGGAGCGUAGAUGGAUGUUUAAGUCAGUUGUGAAAGUUUGCGGCUCAACCGUAAAAUUGCAGUUGAUACUGGAUAUCUUGAGUGCAGUUGAGGCAGGCGGAAUUCGUGGUGUAGCGGUGAAUGCUUAGAUAUCACGAAGAACUCCGAUUGCGAAGGCAGCCUGCUAAGCUGCAACUG